Non-coding RNA from Gossypium arboreum, 111 nucleotides. The record is from Rfam. NCBI's taxonomy places the organism in Eukaryota, Viridiplantae, Streptophyta, Magnoliopsida, Malvales, Malvaceae.
AACCCAUGGUGAGGGCAUUUUCUUAACAGAUCGUUGUAUCUCUCUCAUGCAUCGUAGAGUGUCUCUAAAUCCAUCUGCACAAAAUAGGAGAUAUCGUUAUAUAAUUGGGCU